AUGCUUAUCAAUACCCACAGUCCCUCCUCAUUUUUAGUGCAGUGGCGAAGGAAGGAAGCAGUCACUCAGUGCACUCGCACAGGAAUAUUGCAGGAGUUUUCAAGAGAGAGAGAUGGCUGAGGCAGACAUGGGUAGCAAAGAAAGCAGAUGUCUUCAAGGAAAGACAGCUCUUGUCACGGGCGGAACAAAAGGAAUAGGGUUAGCGCACCAAGGGGUCUCGCUAAUUACACUAACAACGACAUCAGUUCAGAUAUUAGCCUAUAAGAGCAUUUUCAACCUCUUAUCUAAAGCUUUUAUGAGCCAAAACUCAACCCCAACAUAUUAUCUAUUGGAAUAUACAUAAAAUAUUAUAUAUUUUUCGUUUAUUUCAUAUUGUUGAUAUUGUAAUAUUCUCUAUUUAUGAAUUGAUUAAGAUUUAAUUACCAUACUUGUAUUUACUCUAUACCCGUCAGCCAAUGGAGACUAAGAGUCGGCCGCCGUGGACUCCCACCAGAGGCACCGGGAGUGCAUGAGCAGUCAUCAAUAUAAAUAAGAACCUUUGUAUUAUAGACACGGAACCAUACGUAAUUCUUUGUGUAUCUUUCUCUCCAUGCUUCCUCUAUUAUUUUCCUAUUUUAUAUUUUUCGUAUAUUCUAACAUUAACCAUCCAGUUAUUUAAACCAUAAUUUUGCUACAGUGAAAAGCAAAAGAUAAAUUAUCACAUCAUAAAAUGUAGAUGCCCUAACUAUGGUAGAAAUCAACAAUUGAGAAGAGCUGCACACCGUUUUUUGGUUUUAGUCCUAAUUCUAGUUUUUAAUCUAUUUUUUAUAAUCUUUUUGGGAUUUUAGUUCAAUUUCAAAAACUUUCCAUCAUGCGCAAUAAGAACUUCUCUCUGUUUUUCUUCUUUAAUACAAUAGUCGUUAUUUUGUCAUUUCUGAUGAAUUUUAUGUUGGUAUAGAUUUAGGAUUGUAGCUUCGUUCUUAACCUCAAUGAAACUCCACGUGAUCAAAUUGUGAAACUGCGUGCGCGGCAAUAAUUAACCAUGGUUUUAGUCAACUCUCUUUGCCUUCUCUUGCUAUCUUCAAAGUAAUUUGUCAUAGAGAUCAAUGUUGGAAAUUUUUUUCCUAAGAGAAUACAUCUUAUUUUAUAUGCUUUAGGAUGCAUGUGAUAGUGUUAUUUCCACACUUUUUAUGCAUAGCUCUCAUGUGUGUUAUUAAAUUUUAAUUUUAAUUCAAAAUCAAUGAUAAGAUGAAAAAUGUGCAUAACAAAUGUAGAGAGACAUGCAUGCUACUUCUCCAUUUACUAUUAAUCUUUUUCUCAAACCAACCAUUGCUUCAUGAGUGCCUGCAUGUAAUUGUUAGCGUCGCUUGCCCUCUUUGUUUUCUUGGUCAACAAAUCGUCUUCGUCUUUCAUGGGAGCCAUUGUGAUCUCUCUCUCUCUCUCUUUCUCACCCAUCAUCGUUGUCUUCCAUGGAGCCACAGUCACCGCAAGCCAAUCGUCUUCCAUGAGAGCUAUCGUCAUCUCUCUCCUAUCGUCAGAUCACGGUGAAACUCUACGAUAAAAUUUUUCAUUAAAUUGAGGUAUACUUUUCCAACAUAUCCACACUGGACCGGGAUCCUCGAUCUCCAUUUCAACUAGGGGAUCCAAAUUCA
RNAcentral lists this long non-coding RNA (1631 nucleotides) under Betula platyphylla (Asian white birch). Lineage: Eukaryota; Viridiplantae; Streptophyta; Magnoliopsida; Fagales; Betulaceae. The record is from RNAcentral.